AAACGUUUUUGACUUUCUCAGAACAUAAAAGAAGCCACCUUUAGACAAACUUAUUGAAAGCAUGCGUAAAGAAAUAUCGAUUGCAUUAAUUACUUAGAGGGAUUAAAAGGGAUUUGUUACUGAACAAAAUAAAAAUAAUAUAAAAUUUAAGUGAAAGCAAUGUCAGGUAUAAAAAAUGCGGAAAGAUAAAUUGGUAAUAUUAGGAUCAUUUGAAUCCUUCAUUGUCGGCCGCUCUUCUCUACCAUCUUAAGUUUAAUCUUACCGUGAAGCGAGCGAAGCGGCAUUCUUUCCCAUGAAUGAUUUUGCUCCUAGCUACUAUAUCCGAGACAGAAUUGUUACUAUCUCGUGAACGUCUCAAAUUGAAAUGUCGCUUAAGCACAUUUACAGCAGAGGUAAAGUCAUGUCUACUCAACACGCGUAUUUUAUUUGUAGAUUUUUGGUCAAGUUUUUCUAUCUUUGCUUUACUUCGAAAAACAGACAAAAAAUGAAAUGGCAAAAAAUUGCAAUACUUUUGAUAUAUUUCCUUCGUUUCAACUAUUAUGAAAUUUUGUUGU
Non-coding RNA from Schizosaccharomyces pombe (fission yeast), 554 nucleotides. NCBI's taxonomy places the organism in Eukaryota, Fungi, Ascomycota, Schizosaccharomycetes, Schizosaccharomycetales, Schizosaccharomycetaceae. The record is from the annotation of a GenBank genome assembly.